UACAGAGGGGGCAAGCGUUGUUCGGAAUUACUGGGCGUAAAGGGCGCGUAGGCGGCCUUCUAAGUCGAACGUGAAAUCCCCGGGCUCAACCCGGGAACUGCGUCCGAGACUGAAAGGCUUGAAUCCGGGAGAGGGAUGUGGAAUUCCAGGUGUAGCGGUGAAAUGCGUAGAGAUGUGGAGGAACACCGAUGGCGAAGGCAGCCCCCUGGGUUAACACUGACGCUCAGGCACGAAAGCGUGGGGAGCAAACAGG
Molecule: ribosomal RNA, 253 nt
Filed under: uncultured bacterium
Lineage: Bacteria
Description: partial 16S ribosomal RNA
Rfam family: Bacterial small subunit ribosomal RNA
Source: RNAcentral